This 1012-nucleotide long non-coding RNA is filed under the name Capra hircus (goat). RNAcentral's name for it is "lncRNA (ENSCHIG00010030035.1)". Lineage: Eukaryota; Metazoa; Chordata; Mammalia; Artiodactyla; Bovidae. The record is from RNAcentral.
GGACUCUCAAGAGUCUUCUCCAACACCGCAGUUCAAAUGCAUCAGUUCUUUGGCGCUCAGCUAAAUAUUAGCUAUACAAAUAACUGGGCUUCCCUGGUGGCUCAGCCCUAUUACUGAUUUUGAGACUUUCCUUCUCAGCACCGAGCCUGGAGCAGAAUUCAGACUCAGUGUGAGUACGUCAAUAUAGGAUGCAUUGGUCGACUCUGAUGCCUGCCAGAGUCCGCAGAAGCAAGAGAUUUGCAGAACCUGGGAGAUCUCAGCCCUGCUGCAAGGGGACAUUUUUGUACUCAGUGCCAUUUCCACAAGGUGAGGAGCCUACCAUAGUGACAGCUGGAAAAUGAAUCUACCUGGAGCGCUUCAACUCCACUGGGUGAUUGCCUUGUGGAUCAGGUGAUGUCCUUUUUCUUUCCUUGUUUUGUCUCUCUUCUACACCAGGUCUAGCUCACUUUAAUAAUAUUUUCUUUCAAAUUUAGUCAUUUAAAUUAGCUUCUUUUAUUUAUUUUUAUUUAAAAAAAUUUUUAUUGGAGUAUGGUUGCGUUACAGUGCUGUUAGUUCCUGCUAUACUGCAAAAUGAAUCAGUUAUCUGUAUGCAUAUAUCCCAUCUUAGAUUUUCUUCCUAUUUAGGUCACCAUUUAUUUUAGCUAGACUUAUACCCUGUUUCACAUUCUCUUUCUGAUCUACAUCUCAUUCUCCUCUUAAAUUUUUACUUUAUAAAAAGGGUCCAAUUUGUGAUUUUCCCCAUCUGUUUUUGUUUCAUUUUUCCUUCAUAUUACUUUGCCGCUUUAGUACACAACUAUCACAGGAACAGCUAUAUCCUCUAUUAUUAAAACUUCCCACACUAAACCAUGUCAACUUACACCCUCUAAUCCUUUCUUUCCAAGGUAAUCUUCUCUUAGCCAGGCCCAGGUGCUGGAUUCAGAAAUAACCUUGUCCCACUGCCAGAUAGAGCUGUGACCUAUUUCCUCAUCCCAUUGUUCGAAGGGUUGCCAUGUUACCAUGUCCUUUGUGAUUC